UUUGUCGUGAAUAAAAUCUCUGGAAGACAGCAAGCAAGGGACCAGCUUAGCUCUCUGUCAGUUACGCUGUACUAAGUCCUUAUGUUUCCUGAUCGUCCAUAAACUCCAUAGUGUAUGGAGAACCUUGACCUCUGGAUCAGAGAGAAUAGCUUGAAAAGCCUUAGGAGUCACUCAUACAGGAGUAUAUGAUCUAACUUGGGCCUAGGAAAAGAGGAAUUUGUCUGGAGAUAACAAGUACCAGAGAAGGCUUCCUGUGACCAAACAUGUCUUUUAGGCCACCAAGAAGGCAGGAUAGGGCAUCCAUGCCAGAAGAGAGAGCGCUCUGGCCAGAGGUUUAGAGAAGCUGGAAGUGUCCUAAUGGACAGGGUAUGAGAUUUGGUAUGGAGCGUCAGGUCAGAUGCUGGAAGCCGAGAAUAACAGGCAGGGAGCCAGCUAAAGGAACUGGCCUGGUCACCAUGGGUACAAGAUGGGUAGGAUGGAGGCUGUCAGGCCCUGUGCCACCUAGGCCAGCUGGAGCUCAGCAGGCAUGCCCACUCUGUGCCUGUCACCUUGUAGCACUUGGCUUGGACUCUAGUAGCUCAUGGAGCUGUUUCCAAGUUUGCAAGGAAACUGUGGAGCUCAGAAACUGGCCAUCUUCCCAUGCCACGUUAUUUUUCCUACCACCAUCAUUUAUUCAUUCAACACUCAUUGACUGCACAUUAUGUGUUAAGUAAGGCCUUGGGGACACAGAGGAGGAAACCACAGUCCUCUACCCAGCCCUUUAGCUCUUGUGAUCCGGAACUUCACAUAUCCAUUCACAACAGGAAGGUCAGGCUGAGGGGAGUGAGUGCUGAGUUAGCAGGCAUGGGAUGUGACAGUUAUCAUUGUUCUAUGGCUUCUUGCUCCCCCAGCCCCCUCCACUCUUCAAGAACCCACAAGAACAAAGUCAGAGGCCAUUUCAUGCUUUGCCCAUGACACCCAUCAGCUGUCACUUAGCUUCAGCCCAACGUCAGUUCUCUAGAUCCCCAUCAGUUCUAUAGCUUCCCUUUCUCCCGUUUAAAAUGACUUGGAUCGUAAGAAUCAGAAUAUCAAGAACUCGUUGAUAUUUAUGUGUGAGACUAGCAGGAAACAUCUUAAGUGCAAUUAGAUAAUAAACCAAUACCUGGAGGAAUUCAUGGAUAGAUGAUUUCUUCUACUUAGACACCAGAAGCUUGUCUGGAGUGCCAGGUUCAGAAUACUACCUGGCUCUCCUCAGACAAGAUCCUGAGCACAGUUCUCGGCAGUUAGGCCUGCAUGUAAAGUGACAGUAGUGAGCAUCUGGCCACCACUUCCCCGCACAGCUGGGUUGUGACCCAGCCCUGCAAAUGUAUCCUUAACCCCAGCCCUCUAUCCCUGCCUAUGGCCCUUUUCUGUCCCUUGCCUUCCAAGACCAGGAAAGACAAAUGGGUUUCUUCUCAUUACUACUACUCUGGUGGACGUGUGUGUGUGUGUGUGUGUGUGUGUGUGUGUGUGUGUGUGUGUAAGAGCAAGCUCUUAGAUAUUGUAUGGUGAUUACCAAAGCACAGGAGGCCCAAGCCACUUCUGGCUCCUUGGAUGUUCUUUCUAAAUCUUUGGUUUAGCCACCAGACUAGGAGGAUGUCCUGCGUUCCGCUUCCUUCUGUACUGUCCAGCUGUUGCUGGUAGGCAAGGCAAGCGAACUUGAAACAGGCUCUUCUGUGGACAGGUGAGGUGGCAGCACUUGACUCUUUCAUUUAGGAAAGCCAGAGGUCGGUGAGGAUGCUUCCCCAGGAAGAGAGUGUGUACUCUCAGUCCUGUACGCUGAACAACAUAGCAAGGGGAGGUUCAGGGUCUAGAAGCAAGUGGGUCUUCCCUGCACUGGCUGGCCUUGGCUUCCUUCUGGCUUCCUUUGCUGAGAUUUCCUGGAGGAAGUUUACUGACUAAACGUCACAUCCAUAGAGACUUGCCAAGGGUUUAAAUAUGGGAGCCAGUUGACAGCACACACUCUCGGUCACCAGGCUGCUAAGAGAGGCUUCCUCCGGAGCAGAGAGGCUCACAGACGCUCGUGCUGAUGAAGGAGGUGCACAGUUCUCGUUUCCUGUUCUGCUGUCCCUCUCAUGGGCUUUAUUCUCUUCCAGGACACAGUCCAGGGUCAGAAGAAGAGAAAAGAGAAAAGACAGCUUGGUGAUGACAAAGAAGAUGGGAAGGAGGAGAAAAUGAAAUGUUGCCUGAAGACAAUGGCCGAGACAGCCUGUCCCACCCUGCACAGCCCCCAGUGCCUCCUUCCCCAGCCUUGUCUCCUCCAUACAUCACCCUUCGUUCACUCUGCUGAACCUGAGGGUCCAAGGUGGCCUAGUAAAGAAACAAGGUCACAGGAAGACCAACCCCACUCACCUGGAAGUCAGAGGCUCCUCCCCCUCCGGCCCACCAUCCUGUUUAGUGCACUGGGCAAGCCUCUAUCCACUUCCGGCCUGCAAAAGGAACACUGGAUAUGACUGUCUGCAGCCACUUAGCCCUACAUUUUACAUUGGGAAUUCAUAUUUUGUUCUGCUUUGUUACCUGCAAGUCACCCUACUUCCUGCUCCCUGAAUUUCAGGCAACUCAGUCUUUUCUCCUUUAAGCUGCCCUGGGACACAGGUAGAUUCCUCUACUAAGGCCUACAAAGAAACAACCAAACAACAAAGAAACGAAAAACCCCCGAGGCUUGUCCCAUUGCUGACGGCCAGCGCUGACCUAGAAAGUGGCCUGUCCUGGAGCAAAGACCUGGGCCAGACAGUGUAUGUCUUGGCUAGGUGUGCUUGCAGCCUGAGUCAGAUGCUUUGCCUUCUCCUCUGGUUCCAGAUGUUCUGAACAGUGCCCCGGUGGCUUCAGGAAGAUGGUCCUGUGAAGGGCAGUGAUGGGACAGGCAGUUCAGCUUUUAUGGAAACAGAAGUGGUAACUCCUGCCUGCCAGGGUCACAGGACGAAUGCAGAGCCUACAGAGCCGAGCUGCUUCAGACACACAAGAGUGCAGGAGGAAAGGAAACGCAGAAGCACCAUCCGGAGGCUGUGGUACAGGGAGCAGUCCUGCCACCAGGGACUCGGCAGGAGCCCUUCUAGAGGGCCUUUGUCAUCAGCCUGCUGGCCUAGCGUCUCCUAUGCCUGCCCAUGCCACCCACACCUCUCAGGAUUGUCCUGGGUCUGAUGUGCAGUGGGACGCUGUCCAGGCACUUGGGAAAUGGAAACUUCAUGACUGGCAUUUCGACCCCCAAAGCACUAGGCAGCACAUUGGGAAGUUGCCAGAGGAAGGGGCUCCAGCCUCCCAGGAGUUAAAGAUGCUUCUCCCCAGCUGUCCUCCCUUGGUGCUCCCUUCCCUCCCUCCUCCCGCUCACAGCAGGCAGGGCCUGGAACCAGGAGCCAUGCUGCUGGGCUGUUGCCAGGGGAGCUGAGAGGCAGAUCAGAGCUAUGCAGGGGAAAGGCUCAGCCUGUCAAAGUGUCUGAGAUGAACCACCGCCAUCCUGUGCAGCUGGGCUCAGAUGUGUCUCGGCUCUUGUUCUGUGCCUGAGAACGGGGAAGCCCAGUGAGGUUCAAGGACACACUCGCUAUUCAUUAGUCAGGGGUUCUUGACGCCCUGUCUCUCCCAGGCAUGGGUUCCCCCUUCCCCUUUCUCUCCCUCCUAUGGCACAUUCCUGGGUGCCUGCGGUGAGGACUGCACACCCCCUCCUGCACAGCCCCCUCCACACAAACCCUGAAUCAACUCCUGUUCAGAAGACCAGGCGGGACAGAGACAAUGGCUUCAAGAAACCAUUCAGGCGGGACCCAGCCACCUUCCACUGCCCUCUGCUCCCAGGGCUCCUAUAGAUCCAGCUCGGCUGGGACUCGGCACCCUUGGGCUCCGGCUUGCACAGACCUGGACAAGAGCAGACCACAGGUGCUGCCCUACACAACAGGCCAGUGAAGUGCUAUUCUCAGUGGCCCCUUGGUGCCUCGAUCCCUCCCGCUGGUUAGAUAUUUCUGUGCAGUUUGUUGGAGAGUAGAAAGUACAUUUUCUGAAAUGUUGCAAUGUCAAAAUGUAAAAGGCACAUAGACUUGGUUACUAAUUUCAUGACUGGAAACUUACUCCAGAUACACUGGAAACGUUUGCUAAGAAGCAUGGACAAAACUGUGGUUCACUAACGGGUCAUUUAAUACUAUGGGAUACUACACAGCUGUGAAAGUGUGGUAGAUCUUUGCAUGCAGGCUGAUAGGAAGGCCGACUAAUAUACUUAAGUGAAUAGAACAAAUUACAGAACAUUCAAGUAUGUUCUUGUUUGUAUACGUUUAAAAGUCAGUCAUGGAGUCCGAGGUAUGUGAAGCUCUGUGGUAAAAUACACACAACACACAAGAAGCCUGGAGUCAAAUAAAAUAUAUCAGCCAUUAAGCAUGUCUAUGUCUGUGCAUGGAUGGUUCUUGAACAUAAACACUGGACAGCAACCUCUGGGAAAUGGGAGGGAUGUCUUCCUGUAUGUUUGUGUUUGUUUUUUCUCUGUGUUUGUGAAAUGCUUUUAUUGAAAACAGAAAGAGUUGUAAUCACUUAAUAGAUUUAACUUCUCUCAGCCAAUGAAGGGUAGGCACGCUAAGACAAGGUGUGAUGUGGCAGGGGAAAGUGUCUUAACAGUACUGAUGGCCUCUGGCCAAUGGUGUUACUGCAGCCUACUAAUCACGUGUCAUCAUCAUGGCUGCUACUAUUAACCAAAAGCCCACUAUGUGCCAGGCUUAGCUUCUCUGGUUCUUGUUUAGGUGAGCAUCAUAUUUCAGUCUCACCUAUGCAGGAGACAGAGCAAGGAAAUCAGAGGGUUUCUCCAAGCUGGUUGGCAGGUAGGGGCAGGGUCAAUAUCCUAGAGUGGGUAAAUCAAAUGUGGUUCUGAUUUCCCUCAGGGU
Onychomys torridus (southern grasshopper mouse) is the source of this 4874-nucleotide long non-coding RNA. RefSeq lists it as uncharacterized. Lineage: Eukaryota; Metazoa; Chordata; Mammalia; Rodentia; Cricetidae. The record is from RefSeq and is a predicted model, not a curated record. The transcript has 4 exons.